This is a long non-coding RNA of Balaenoptera acutorostrata (minke whale), 5538 nucleotides long. RefSeq lists it as uncharacterized. The transcript has 6 exons. The record is from RefSeq and is a predicted model, not a curated record. Lineage: Eukaryota; Metazoa; Chordata; Mammalia; Artiodactyla; Balaenopteridae.
ACCAUCUCCGCGUGCACACAAAAGGACAAGGCUGUGAGAACACACGGUGAGAGGAUGGCCGUCUACAAGCCAGGAAGCGGGCCAUCACCAAGAGUGGAAUCUGCCAGCACCUUGAUCUUGGACUGUAACUUAGCGGUUACUUAGUGCUGUGCAGAAAACGAGCCCAGAACUGGUGGCUUUAAACAACCAGUCAUUGCUUCUCAUGAAAGAUAAUUGUUUCUUGUGCUUCUAAGGUCAGCUGGGUGAUUCUGUUGAUCUGGGCUAGGAUCAACGAGUCCAGCUGGGCUCACUUAUGUGCCUGCCAUCAGCUAAUGGGCCAGCUGGGGCCUGGUCUGGGGUGGCCACAGCUGAGGACAUAGCUCUGGUCCGUGUGGUGUCAUCCUCCAGGAGGCUGGCUCAGGCUUGGGAUGAACAUGGAGAUGGGGAUCCAGCGAGAGAUGUGAAGCCUCUUGAAGCUUCACCCCUUGAUGAAAAGCUGCAAAGGAACAUGAAUGCAGGAGGCUGACUGAACCCAUCACUGCAGGAGACACAAAGAGGUGACGGCCAGGUAAAGACAGAGGCAGAGAUUGGAGUGAUGUGGCCACAAGCCAAGGAACGCCAGGAGCCUCCAGAGGCUGGAAGAGGCAGGAAGGAUCCUCCCCUAAAGCCUUAGGAGGGAACACAACCCUACCAACACCUUCAUCUCAGAUUUCUGCCCUCCGGACUGUGAGGGAAUCAAUUUCUACUGUUUGAAGAUGCACAGUGUGUAAAACAGUGACGGCUGUCCUCACAGGAAGUCUGGAGUCUUUGGAUGAGAAGCAUUAAAUAAUCAGAAUAACCACUGACUCUUAUCAAGAGCUUUCCAUGUGCCAGGCUGAGGACUUCACAGCCACUCUUGUUUCAUCCCACUACAACCCACUGAAUGAGGUUAAUGAACAAGAUGGAGAAAGAAACCAAGUCAAGGAGCUUCCAGCCCUGGGGUCUGGGGAAAUUUAGAAGCCAAGAGCUUGGCAGCGCUUCCUUGGAUUUUUAACCCCAAGCCUCCUAAAGGAGCUACUGGGUUGGAGAGUGCAGCCUUAGGGCCCAGCUACUCAAAGUGUGGUCCGGGGACCAGCAUCACCAGCGUCUCCUGGAGCUUGUUGGAGCUGCAGACUCUCAGGCCCGCCCCAGAGCUGCACAAUCAGCGUCUGCAUCUUGACGAGCCCUCCAGGUGAUCGUGUGCACACUGCCUAGAUCUCAACUCCGAUGUCACUUCCCAGACACCUCCCCCACACCCCCGCACCCCUGCCCACCCUGUGCCAGGCCUGGUCCUGGGCUCUGACAGCGCCCUAUGUUAAGGCCUCUAGCACCUCCUGGAGUGUGACCUUGAGCAAGGACCCCAGGCUGGAAUAACUUCAUGGCAUCUAUCGGUGCUUGGGUGUGGUUACAUGGUCUCCUGCUCCAUGAUGGAAGACCCUAUCUGUCUGGUCCCCUCAGGGCCACUGGUUGCCCACUGAGAGCAGCCUUGAACUGGUUCUCUCCUGACACUACUGAAGGUCAGGGCAGCAAGGUUCCCCCACACUGACCAGACAAGACAGGCUGGCAAGCAGCAUCUGGCCCACCCCUCAGCCUCCACCUGCCCUUCCGAAGGCAGCAGCCCCCAGAUGCAGGUGUCUGUGUGUCUGAGUCCCUCUGGACCUCAGUCUCUCUCUCCCACACUGAGCCCCAAUGGCCAAAACAGGCUGCUUCCCAAAGGGAAUCACCACCCUCUGACACCCUGUGGGGUCUCCCUUUGGAGUAAAGAUGCUGGCCCAGCAUUUCUUUUUUGGGGGGGGGGGUGUGCUUACGGCUUGUGGGAUCUUCGUUCCCCAACCAAGGAUUGAACCCACAUCCUCAGCAGUGAAAGCGCGGAGUCCUAACCACUGGACCGCCAGGGAAUUCCCAGGCCCAGCAUUUCCUGUGCCACCUGCAUGUGCCCCUAGGAUCCCUGGAGCUCUGCCUUGGAUAUGGGUCCAGACUCAAUGCCCUCUUGGAGCCUCAAAUUUACUCAUUGGUAAAGAAUUUAAAGCGUCAUUUUUAGAAGGAAACUACACAGAUAUAUCACGAAGCAGGAUGCAAGAUCACACUUGUUUUUAAAAGAUAAAACACAAGGUCUGGAAGAAACCACUAUUGAGUGCUUACUGUAUGCUCAGGUGAAGGGCAGGCUUUCCCCAACCAUCUCAUCCUCAGGACAACCCCAUGACGUAGGGGCUCCUAUUUAACAGUUGGGGCUCAGAGAACUAAAGUGACUUGCCUGAGGUCACAGAGCAACCAGGAAGUGCUGGAGGUCUUAACCACUACACUUCCCUGUCCCUCUGACAGCAACACUUGGAGAGAGUCGUCUGUGAGGCAUUAUUCUAGAAUGUUCUAGAGCAGUCCAAACCCAGUUUUAUGGAAUUCUAGGAGUGAGGGGAGGUACAAAUAGGAGGGCUCAGGCUCCCCUUCUCCCCCCACCAAUCAAUCUGGUAUGUUAGGCUUCUGUCCAUUGUUUCAUUUGAAGGGAAGGUUCUGCAGCUGAGGCUGAAGCAGCAUAGUGAUCUGAUCGCUCAUGAAAAGGUGCUGAGCCACUGGCAAGUUUAACAACACCCAUGCCAGGGCCCCACCCCUGGAGAAGCUUGAGGGCAAGUAGAGGAGGUGAAUCCAGUGUCCCUAGCACAGAAGAAAGUGGCCUCAGGCGUGCUGUGGGCCUGGCCUGGAAGGGAGUCCGGGGCCCCUCGUACCUGAAGUCCUCAGACGCCAGCACCUCGUAGUAGUAGAGGAGUUUGCACCUGGGGCCAGGGCUGUGCAGGGCCAUCAGGACAUCCUCCACGCCCGGGAGGCUGCAGGCCAUGUGGCCAGGGGCGCUGUGCAUUUGCCACUGGAGCAGGUAGACACCAGGCCACUGGGUCACGUGGGAGCCCUGAAACACAGCAGCCACACGCCUGAGGCCCUGGUCCACCAGGGGACAGGAGCCCCUUUCUAAACCAGUCCACCAGCAAAUCCUUCCUUUUGGGGUGUCCCAAAGCCACCUUUGCUUCCCCUCUGCUGUUACCCCAUAUCCCUGGCAGCUGAGAGCCUUCCUCUUAAUCGGGAUGGGGGGUGGGGGUCGAGGCCUAGGGGGUGUGGCUAUAGGACAACAGAGGUGUGGUUUGGUUAAACACCUGGAUUUUGUUGGGCUCUUGUCCUGCCAAGUGGGAUUUGCAAAUUGAGGAGACCUGGAAAGGGAGCUUAAAUGUGCUUAGAGUUUGUUGAGGGCAGAGGGACAGCAAGAAAGGAGGGUGUUAGUUUUUAUAAGAAGAGCAACUUUGAAAAGGCUGGGAUGUUCGGUGGGACCCUGGGGCGGGGGUGCUGGUGUAUGAUGUGACAACUGUCUGCUCAAUUCCCUUAGGAAGCCUCCAGUAAGAUCUGCACUGCUCGCCAGUGCGUGCGUGCGUGCAUGUGUGUUUGAGGCUGGUGAUGUUUAACCUGCAAGCACCGGCCUCAUGGAGAAUGUGGGGGUCAGCAGGGGUGGCUCAUGUUCUGGUGAGACGUCCGAGUGCUGUUCCCAGACCUACAGUUUCUCUGCUGCCUGGGUUCUGAAAACUUGUGCAUAAGGAAUCACGGUGAGAGGUGAGGGAUACAGACACCAGGCCCCAUGCCCAGAGGUUCUGAGCCGGCCCUCCUGCCGUGGGCCCCAGCAACCUGCAUCUUCGACAAGAGUCUCGGGAUUCUGAGGAUGGGGUCCUGCCAGAAUCUGUCUUUCUCCCCAACUGUCCCGCAGGGUCUCUGAGGCCAGAGACCGGGUCCAGUUUAUCCAUUGCUGUAUUCCCAGAACCCAGCGCACAGUGGACACUCAGUCCUGAGUGAUGAAUGAAUAAAUGAACCAAAAAACAGAACCUGGGGACUUCCCUGGUGGCGCAGUGGUUAAGAAUCCACCUGCCAGUGCAGGGGACACGGGUUCGAUCCCUGGUCCGGGAAGAUCCCACAUGCCUCGGAGCAACUAAGCCCGUGUUCCACAACUACUGAGCCUGUGCUCUAGAGCCUGCGAGCCACAGCUAAUGAAGCCCAUGCGCCCUAGAGCCCGCACACUGCAACUGCUGAAGCCCACGCACUCUAGGGUCCAUGCUCCGCAGCAAAAGAAGCCACCGCAAUGAGAAGCCCGUGCACCACAACGAAGGAGUAGCCCCCGCUCACCGCAACUAGAGACAAGCCGUGCACAGCAACGAAGACCCAACACGGGCAAAAAAAUAAAUACAUAAAUAAAUUAAAAAAAAAAAAAAGAAACAGAACCUGGAUGCUCUCCCCUUCCCGGCAGAUGAGGGGGGCCUCCACACGGCUGUAAUCUGCACCCAGGGCCCAGCCUUUGUCUGUCAGCUGCCCGCCAGCCCUGGCCCCGGGCUCCCGGGGGCCUGGCUUGGGCGCCUGCUUGGUGUAGUACAGACUGAACAUCACGUCCCCUUGCAGGAUGUCAAAGUCCCAGGUGAUGACUGACUCCCUCUCCAGAAUCUCCACUGCGACCUACGUGGGGACAGGUGACAGGUUUCUCCUGAGCCCUCAGCCUCUGCAAAUCACUGGCACAAGAACCCUUGUCUCAGACCCCACUUCGGGGUCCCUGACCUAAGAUGACACCCAGCCCAGCAGGCCCUCCCAGGCCAGGACCCCGGCACCUCAUGCGGGGCCGCACGGAGCACACUGGCCGCCUGGUAGGUCUCUCUCCACUGCCGCAGCUGGUCUCUGUGUUCCUGAUCCUCUUCCGUCAGAUAGAGGGACUUGGGGACCAGCCCUCCUUCAGGGACGUUACACUGGGGGACAAAGACACCAGAGACAGUCAGGGCCCAGCCAGGCCUGGCUGACCCACAGAAAGGUGCUCUGUGACCCCUGAAGCCACACUUAUAACAUGCAUACAUAUCCUGACCAUUGGGGAGGCCUGGGUAAGCUUGGCAAAAUUCCUAGGAAACGUCUCUCUUUACCCUGAAAUCAUGAAAGCUUGCUGUUUGAGAUUUCUGUUGGAGAAAGGAAAAGGCCUGCCCUCCCACAGUCAUGAGAUAGGGUCACCCCUGCCUAUCAUCUCACCCCCCAGGGCAGGCAAUAAAAGUGGUCUGGGGGGAAAAAGGGGGUCUGGGGCCGCCUCCCCUGGAAGCAGUUUCCUGAUCAUCGCCUGCCAUGAGGCUGUGGGUUAGGGAUAAGUCCCUUUGGGUACACCAGCUCUGGGGUUCAGGCCGCUGGGACAUUUGAAUCCCCUCCCCUUGCAGCAGAGGGUGCAAAGCCAGCAGCUAAACUCUAACUGCUGCCUAGCAACGUCCUGGAUGGGAAUACAGAGGGGUAAGCCUUUGCCUGGCCUGGUCUCUGAGCUUUUGGGAAACUUCUGUUUCGCUCACUAUGUAUGAAAGAACGAAGGUCAGGCCCCUCCUUCAGAGAGGACAAGCUCUGCCCCAAAGAGCCAGCAAGGCCCUCCCCAGGUCAGAGCACACACAAAGGGCCUGCCCUCCUCCCGCCUCCUUCCAUCGGCAGCCCUGCCUCUCCCAGGCCACAGACCCUCCCCAUGCCGAAAGCACAGGGCCCGCUGGGGCCUUACCAGGCACU